CAGCCGCCGCGGUAAGACAGAAGAUGCAAGCGUUAUCCGGAAUGAUUGGGCGUAAAGCGUCUGUAGGUGGCUUUUCAAGUCCACCGUCAAAUCCCAGGGCUCAACCCUGGACAGGCGGUGGAAACUACCAAGCUAGAGUACGGUAGGGGCAGAGGGAAUUUCCGGUGGAGCAGUGAAAUGCGUUGAGAUCGGAAAGAACACCAACGGCGAAAGCACUCUGCUGGGCCGACACUGACGCUGAGGAGCGAAAGCGUGGGGAGCGAACAGGAUUAGAUACCCCAGUAGUCCCUGUCUCUUAUAC
Molecule: ribosomal RNA, 301 nt
Filed under: uncultured bacterium
Lineage: Bacteria
Description: partial 16S ribosomal RNA
Rfam family: Bacterial small subunit ribosomal RNA
Source: RNAcentral